UGAUCAGCAUGCCGCGUGUGUGAAGAAGGCCUUCGGGUUGUAAAGCACUUUCGUUGGGGAAGAGGCUUGUCUGGUUAAUACCUGCGGUCGAUGGACGGUACCCGAAGAAUAAGGACCGGCUAACUACGUGCCAGCAGCCGCGGUAAUACGUAGGGUCCAAGCGUUAAUCGGAAUUACUGGGCGUAAAGCGUGCGCAGGCGGUUGUGCAAGACCGAUGUGAAAUCCCCGAGCUUAACUUGGGAAUUGCAUUGGUGACUGCACGGCUAGAGUGUGUCAGAGGGGGGUAGAAUUCCACGUGUAGCAGUGAAAUGCGUAGAGAUGUGGAGGAAUACCGAUGGCGAAGGCAGCCCCCUGGGAUAACACUGACGCUCAUGCACGAAAGCGUGGGGAGCAAACAGGAUUAGAUACCCUGGUAGUCCACGCCCUAAACGAUGUCAACUAGUUGUUGGGGAUUCAUUUCCUUAGUAACGUAGCUAACGCGUGAAGUUGACCGCCUGGGGAGUACGGUCGCAAGAUUAAAACUC
Molecule: ribosomal RNA, 524 nt
Filed under: uncultured Ralstonia sp.
Lineage: Bacteria; Pseudomonadati; Pseudomonadota; Betaproteobacteria; Burkholderiales; Burkholderiaceae
Description: bacterial SSU rRNA
Rfam family: Bacterial small subunit ribosomal RNA
Source: RNAcentral